RNAcentral lists this unclassified non-coding RNA (499 nucleotides) under uncultured Acaulospora. RNAcentral describes it as "SSU rRNA". It matches the Rfam family "Eukaryotic small subunit ribosomal RNA", at positions 569 to 1078 of the family's 1831-position model. Lineage: Eukaryota; Fungi; Glomeromycota; Glomeromycetes; Diversisporales; Acaulosporaceae. The record is from RNAcentral.
AGCAGCCGCGGUAAUUCCAGCUCCAAUAGCGUAUAUUAAAGUUGUUGCAGUUAAAAGCUCGUAGUUGAAUUUCGGAAUCUGUCCAUCGGUCGGGCUUCACUGUCCGUACUGGUGUGGUGGGUUCUUACCUUCUGAAUAACCAGCAUGCCAUUCACUUGGUGCGCUGGGGAAGCAGGACUAUUACCUUGAAAAAUUAGAGUGCUCAAAGCAGGCUAGUGCCUGAAUACAUUAGCAUGGAAUAAUAAAAUAGGACGGCAUGGUUCUAUUUUGUGGUUUCUAGGAUCACCGUAAUGAUUAAUAGGGAUAGUUGGGGGCAUUAGUAUUCAAUUGUCAGAGUGAAAUUCUUGGAUUUAUUGAAGACUAACUACUGCGAAAGCAUUGCCAAGGAUGUUUCAUUAAUCAAGAACGAAAGUUAGGGAUCGAAGACGAUCAGAUACCGUGUAGUCUUAACCAUAAACUAUAGCCGACUAGGGAUCGGAUGAUGUUAAUUUUUAAUGUA